Molecule: ribosomal RNA, 468 nt
Filed under: uncultured bacterium
Lineage: Bacteria
Description: partial 16S ribosomal RNA
Rfam family: Bacterial small subunit ribosomal RNA
Source: RNAcentral
GAUGAACGCUGGCGGCGUGCUUAACACAUGCAAGUCGAACGGAAAGGCCAGUGCUUGCACUGGUACUCGAGUGGCGAACGGGUGAGUAACACGUGGGUGAUCUGCCCUGCACUUCGGGAUAAGCCUGGGAAACUGGGUCUAAUACCGGAUAGGACAAUGGUUUGGAUGCCGUUGUGGAAAGUUUUUUCGGUGUGGGAUGAGCUCGCGGCCUAUCAGCUUGUUGGUGGGGUAAUGGCCUACCAAGGCGUCGACGGGUAGCCGGCCUGAGAGGGUGUACGGCCACAUUGGGACUGAGAUACGGCCCAGACUACUACGGGAGGCAGCAGUGGGGAAUAUUGCACAAUGGGCGCAAGCCUGAUGCAGCGACGCCGCGUGGGGGAUGACGGCCUUCGGGUUGUAAACUCCUUUCGCUAGGGACGAAGCGUAUUUGUGACGGUACCUGGAGAAGAAGCACCGGCUAACUACGUG